CCGGCGACCGGCGCACGGGUGAGUAACACGUAUGCAACCUGGCCGUCACAGGUGGAUAACCGGAAGAAAUUCCGACUAAUACAGCAUAACACUCCUGAGGGACACCCCUUGGGAGUCAAAGGAGGCAACUCCGGUGACGGAUAGGCAUGCGGCGCAUUAGGUAGUUGGUAGGGUAACGGCCUACCAAGCCGACGAUGCGUAGGGGUUCUGAGAGGAAGGUCCCCCACAUUGGAACUGAGACACGGUCCAAACUCCUACGGAAGGCAGCAG
RNAcentral lists this ribosomal RNA (270 nucleotides) under uncultured bacterium. RNAcentral describes it as "partial 16S ribosomal RNA". It matches the Rfam family "Bacterial small subunit ribosomal RNA", at positions 88 to 354 of the family's 1533-position model. The record is from RNAcentral.